ACGAACGCUGGCGGCGUGCUUAACACCUGCAAGUCGAACGGAAAGGCCCUGCUUUUGUGGGGUGCUCGAGUGGCGAACGGGUGAGUAACACGUGAGUAACCUGCCCUUGACUUUGGGAUAACUUCAGGAAACUGGGGCUAAUACCGGAUAGGAGCUCCUGCUGCAUGGUGGGGGUUGGAAAGUUUCGGCGGUUGUGGAUGGACUCGCGGCUUAUCAGCUUGUUGGUGGGGUAGUGGCUUACCAAGGCUUUGACGGGUAGCCGGCCUGAGAGGGUGACCGGCCACAUUGGGACUGAGAUACGGCCCAGACUCCUACGGGAGGCAGCAGUGGGGAAUAUUGCACAAUGGGCGGAAGCCUGAUGCAGCAACGCCGCGUGCGGGAUGACGGCCUUCGGGUUGUAAACCGCUUUCGCCUGUGACGAAGCGUGAGUGACGGUAAUGGGUAAAGAAGCACCGGCUAACUACGUG
Molecule: ribosomal RNA, 467 nt
Filed under: uncultured bacterium
Lineage: Bacteria
Description: partial 16S ribosomal RNA
Rfam family: Bacterial small subunit ribosomal RNA
Source: RNAcentral